CAACAGGGAUUGCCUUAGUAACUGCGAGUGAAGCGGCAAAAGCUCAAAUUUGAAAUCGGUGUCCUUCUCGGGCAUCGAGUUGUAAUUUGGAGGGAUAACUUCGGUACGGACUACAUCGUAAGUUCCUUGGAACAGGACGUCAUAGAGGGUGAGAAUCCCGUGUCUUGGUGUAUGGCCGUGCCAUGUGAAGUGUCUCCGACGAGUCGAGUUGUUUGGGAAUGCAGCUCCAAAUGGGUGGUAAAUUUCAUCUAAAGCUAAAUAUUGGCGAGAGACCGAUAGCGCACAAGUAGAGUGAUCGAUAGAUGAAAAGCACUUUGAAAAGAGAGUUAAAAAGUACGUG
Molecule: ribosomal RNA, 340 nt
Filed under: Tricharina ochroleuca
Lineage: Eukaryota; Fungi; Ascomycota; Pezizomycetes; Pezizales; Pyronemataceae
Description: eukaryotic LSU rRNA
Rfam family: Eukaryotic large subunit ribosomal RNA
Source: RNAcentral